Molecule: ribosomal RNA, 253 nt
Filed under: uncultured bacterium
Lineage: Bacteria
Description: partial 16S ribosomal RNA
Rfam family: Bacterial small subunit ribosomal RNA
Source: RNAcentral
CACGUAGGGCGCAAGCGUUGUCCGGAAUUAUUGGGCGUAAAGAGCUCGUAGGCGGUCUGUUGCGUCCGCUGUGAAAACCCGGGGCUUAACCCCUGGCUUGCAGUGGAUACGGACAGACUAGAGGUAGGUAGGGGAGAAUGGAAUUCCCGGUGUAGCGGUGAAAUGCGCAGAUAUCGGGAGGAACACCCGUGGCGAAGGCGGCUCUCUGGGACGGUACUGACGCUGAGACGCGAAAGCGUGGGGAGCGAACAGG